CAUUGUCUCAGCCACUGCCGGUAUGAUGACCGCGACAUCGUCGUCUCUUGUUGAUUCCACUUCGACCGAUGGCACAUUGGAUGGAGGAAGCAUUAUUGGAGCCGACAGUGCGAUGACCAACUCAGCAUUGGGAAUCACUACCGACAGAAUGUCGGUCUCCCUCAUCGGUUUCGACUCCGAAUUGACCUGACUCUUCUUUGU
RNAcentral lists this long non-coding RNA (201 nucleotides) under Elaeis guineensis (African oil palm). RNAcentral's name for it is "long non-coding RNA (EGUI_LNC018721)". Lineage: Eukaryota; Viridiplantae; Streptophyta; Magnoliopsida; Arecales; Arecaceae. The record is from RNAcentral.